GACCCCAUAGCUCAGCGGUAGAGCGUGAGAUUCCAGUGCUGUCACAGCAUGGGGUGUUUCCUCAAGGUCAUCCGUUCAAUCCGGGUUGGGGUCA
This is a non-coding RNA of Panus rudis PR-1116 ss-1, 94 nucleotides long. The record is from the annotation of a GenBank genome assembly. NCBI's taxonomy places the organism in Eukaryota, Fungi, Basidiomycota, Agaricomycetes, Polyporales, Panaceae.